AGUGGCAUGACUGUCAUAUAGGAGGUUCAUAUUUAACUUUUUAAGAAAUGGCCACACUGUUUUCUAAAGUCAUUUUGCUCUUUUACAUUCCCACCAGCAU
RNAcentral lists this microRNA precursor (100 nucleotides) under Marmota monax (woodchuck). Lineage: Eukaryota; Metazoa; Chordata; Mammalia; Rodentia; Sciuridae. The record is from RNAcentral.